CCCAUGCGGGGGCUACCGUGCGGUCGAGCGGGGAGAUGUAGCGGGCUACAUUACCUAGCGGCGGACGGGUGAGUAAUGCUUAGGAAUCUGCCUAUUAGUGGGGGACAACAUUCCGAAAGGAAUGCUAAUACCGCAUACGCCCUACGGGGGAAAGCAGGGGAUCUUCGGACCUUGCGCUAAUAGAUGAGCCUAAGUCAGAUUAGCUAGUUGGUGGGGUAAAGGCCUACCAAGGCGACGAUCUGUAGCGGGUCUGAGAGGAUGAUCCGCCACACUGGGACUGAGACACGGCCCAGACUCCUACGGGAGGCAGCAGUGGGGAAUAUUGGACAAUGGGCGAAAGCCUGAUCCAGCCAUGCCGCGUGUGUGAAGAAGGCCUUUUGGUUGUAAAGCACUUUAAGCGAGGAGGAGGCUACUUGGAUUAAUACUCUAGGAUAGUGGACGUUACUCGCAGAAUAAGCACCGGCUAACUCUGUGCCAGCAGCCGCGGUAAUACAGAGGGUGCGAGCGUUAAUCGGAUUUACUGGGCGUAAAGCGUGCGUAGGCGGCUUCUUAAGUCGGAUGUGAAAUCCCUGAGCUUAACUUAGGAAUUGCAUUCGAUACUGGGAAGCUAGAGUAUGGGAGAGGAUGGUAGAAUUCCAGGUGUAGCGGUGAAAUGCGUAGAGAUCUGGAGGAAUACCGAUGGCGAAGGCAGCCAUCUGGCCUAAUACUGACGCUGAGGUACGAAAGCAUGGGGAGCAAACAGGAUUAGAUACCCUGGUAGUCCAUGCCGUAAACGAUGUCUACUAGCCGUUGGGGCCUUUGAGGCUUUAGUGGCGCAGCUAACGCGAUAAGUAGACCGCCUGGGGAGUACGGUCGCAAGACUAAAACUCAAAUGAAUUGACGGGGGCCCGCACAAGCGGUGGAGCAUGUGGUUUAAUUCGAUGCAACGCGAGAACCUUACCUGGUCUUGACAUAGUAAGAACUUUCCAGAGAUGGAUUGGUGCUUCGGGACUUACAUACAGUGCUGCAUGCUGUCGUCAGCUCGUGUCGUGAGAUGUGGGUAGUCCGCACGAGCGCACCCUUUCUAUUGCAGCGGUAGCGGACUUAGAUACUGCAGUGACAAACUGAGAGC
RNAcentral lists this ribosomal RNA (1111 nucleotides) under uncultured Acinetobacter sp. Its description in RNAcentral is "bacterial SSU rRNA". It matches the Rfam family "Bacterial small subunit ribosomal RNA", at positions 34 to 1170 of the family's 1533-position model. The record is from RNAcentral. Lineage: Bacteria; Pseudomonadati; Pseudomonadota; Gammaproteobacteria; Moraxellales; Moraxellaceae.